RNAcentral lists this long non-coding RNA (481 nucleotides) under Fukomys damarensis (Damara mole-rat). Its description in RNAcentral is "lncRNA (ENSFDAG00000021831.1)". Lineage: Eukaryota; Metazoa; Chordata; Mammalia; Rodentia; Bathyergidae. The record is from RNAcentral.
CUGUAAUUGUGAUUCAUAUGAAAUUUCUCCAUUUAGAGGAAGAUGUGCCAUUACGCAGCAAGUUACUCUGUCUAGCGAAUUAGGGCUCUCCUUCAUCACUGCGGAUCCUCAAGAGGGGAGAGAAUAAGACGGAGCAAGAUUCACUAGGCUGACCUUAGGUGGCAUGCUGAAAUUUGGGAGGCAGAAAACUGCACAGUUUGGAAGGAUUUCUGCUUGAGAAAAAGACUCAGGACAAAGCCUGCCUGUCUGCGAUCACCCGGCGGCGUGCGUGCGAGCUCCCGGCCUGCGCGGGAGCUCCCGACCUGCGCGACAACAGACCCAGGAAGGACCCAAGGACCCCAGAGGGGGUUUUUUUCAGCUGCCUGCCUGCCUGCCUGUCUGCGAUCACCCGGUGGCGUGCGCACGAGCUCCCGGCCUGCGCGACAACAGACCCAGGAAGGACCCAAGGACCCCAGAGGGGGUUUUUUUCAGCUGCCUGCCU